AGUGGGCCGAGCAUGGCUUACAUUUUAUAAGACACUGCAAAAAUGCCUUCUCCAUUGGCUUACCAGUUUUAUUUAUUUUUAAAGUUAAGCUUAGUUGAUAAAGACAUAAAGACUGUAUGUAUCAGAGGGUGUUAGAGUUUCAGCUGUUGGAGGGAACAUUUUGGACUCUGUUUAAAAACACAGCUAUUAUAAUAGGCUAACUCAGUAUACACAAGAAUCAGGCCUCAAUAACUAUGCAGAGUAACGUACCGUAUGUCCCAGUAUUUUGUUCCUGGGUAGGAUGUCAGCAUGUGAGAGGUAUGCAUGGUCACCUGCUUACCCGGUUCCACUCACAAAGCCAAGACAGGAAAUCAUAUGAGAAGGAAAAUGAAUGACAGAACAGGAGCUCAUCCAGUCGCUCAGGUGCUCGGGGUCUAUGGAAGCAGAGAUACACUCACUCAAGCUGCUGUAUUGUGGACUCGGUGCGAGUUCUGUUAAGUCUAUGGAAGCCAAGAGUCUACAUGAAGCAUCUCUACUUUGGAACAGCAUCUCCCAGCAGCUUCUACAGAGCAGAGAGCAGGCCUAAUGGGGCAGCUGAACACAUGGAACUCCCCAGCAGUCCCAAAGCCCCCCCCCCCCCCCCCCCCGCUAGCUUCAUCUCUGAGCAGAACAGUGGGGAGGGCUGUCGCUUAAGGCACAGGACACUCAAGGUCACAAAUGGUGUUCGAGGCCUCCAGUCCACGACUCUCUUGUUGCUUUUCUUAUGUGCGGUUUAAGGUCAUUUAAAAACCACUUCUCUAACAUAUGACAAUGGAAUAAAACAGCUUUAGAAAUG
Molecule: long non-coding RNA, 814 nt
Filed under: Mus pahari (shrew mouse)
Lineage: Eukaryota; Metazoa; Chordata; Mammalia; Rodentia; Muridae
Description: lncRNA (MGP_PahariEiJ_G0005673.1)
Source: RNAcentral